RNAcentral lists this long non-coding RNA (3565 nucleotides) under Sus scrofa (pig). RNAcentral describes it as "lncRNA (multiple genes)". Lineage: Eukaryota; Metazoa; Chordata; Mammalia; Artiodactyla; Suidae. The record is from RNAcentral.
UCUAGAUACUUAUAACACAGCACGACAAUGGGAGAAAAAUAUGUAUACAUUUAUGUGUAACUGGGUUCCCAUGCUGUACAAUGGGAAAAAAAAGUGUCUUUCCUUUCUUUAAUUUUUUACUUUGAAGGUCAAUUUUUAGAAAGUUCAAAUAUGGUGUGUGUGUAAUUACUGUGGUAAUGUACGGGGAAGUGGACUGAAAAAAAUCAUAGACACAAAAAGAUGAUGAGAGCAGCAGGAUGGAUGUGUUUGUGUUCACAUACUCAUGUGUAUACAAAGCCUUUGCCUGCUGCCAAAGCCUCUGGGUACACUUGCAUAAUUAGAAACAGCUAUAUAGUCAACAUGCUAGAAAAACAGCAAUAACUAGAUAGUGCCCUAAACUUAAAAUCUUCUGAACAUUCUCUAGGAGAUGCAUGUUCCUAAUGAACUCCAUCAGUCACUAGGAUGAUCAGAUUAUUGAGAAAUAUCCAGUGUCCUGGAGGUCAGUGGAAUAUCUACCUUUUGAUUUGGGUAAAUACAGUUUUCAUAGGAUGAGAACUUUGGCUGGGAAUAUAUAUAUAUUAUAUACAUCCUUCUAAUGAUCUCUAAAUUCAGCAGAGCUCUCAGGGAAAUAGGUGGCAUCUUUACUUCAUAGAAUUAUACAGUGCUUUCUAACUGUACCCUGAAGUACUGAGGAAGUGUGGCUCCUGUUGUGUUUGUAAGGCAUCCAUGGAUGGAGGAAUUUCAAAGACUCAGUUGCUUCCAUAGACAGCUGGAGCCAGCUAUCCAUCUGUCCUUCCUUUUCAUGCCCUUCUGUCUCUCAGCAACUUCUCAUGGAGGGCUUAGGAUCCCUAAAAGCUUCCCUCUCCUAGUUCCACUGUAUGUCUCUCUUAAAGGUUAUUUCCAAAUUAAACUGUACAUGCCUUAAUAAAAUUCUGAGGUGUGUUCAGUCUUAAAAGUCUUAGAUCUUCGUUUGUUUCAUGGCUCUACUCAAGCACAGGUGCUGAUAGAAUUAAUGAAAAUAAAUUGCUGAUGGAAAAAGGCAAAAAGGAUAAAAUAUCUUCCCAUCAGCUCUCACUUACAUCCACCUAAGAGAAAAGUGCACUGCGGGGUAAGUGGGGCUCAUGCAUUACUUGACUUGUCUGAAGCAAUCAUGACCCAUUUACUCCUUGUGUGGAAACAGGGCUGAUCUUGUGUCCACAUUUAUUGUAGACACAAACCACAAGGUACAUAUGUAUACUCUUGAAACAAAAAUACAUCAUGUCACUUCCACUUUCUCUGGUAGCUGUGAAACAGAAUCUGGAACCUGGGUGAGUCAGAGAAUAAGAAUCUUUAGAUGCAAAUAAUUAGUCUGUUUAAAUUCCAUCUUCAUGAAUUCACAUCUAAAGGAUCAAAAUGUUUCAAUCUUAGUGGAUGCAAAUCGCUUGUUUUUAAUUAAAAACACUGAUUGCCCCAGAAAUAUGAUUCUGUGUCUGUCCAGAAGGACUUUUCCCAAAUGGAGCCCUGUAGCUUAGAAACAUUUGUUGCCUUUUGGCUUUCAGUUUUCUUUAGUUCUGUUUGCACCUCUUUGUAGAACAUCAUACCUGCUAAGAGACCCUGAUAUUGUACAUCUAUGAUGAAAUUAGUAAGGCUAGAUAAAAUUGUAGAUUGAGAAAAGAUUAAAACCAAGUUCAAAUAGUAGAUAUAAAUAUAAAAAGGACACUUCUCUUUUACAAUCAUUCCGUAGGGAGUAAUUGUGAUUCCCAUUUACUCCAGUUGCCAUUGUUUUGUUUUUUGUGCCACCUCGCAAAGUGUAGAAUAAUCAUGGACAGAAAUGGCAGUGCUCAAAUUAAUAACCUUAAGCCCAUUCACUGUCAAGUUCCUGUUCAACUUAGCACUUGCCCCCUUCCUUGUUUCUCCUUUACAUUGUUUUGCUACUUGCCUCUCUCAUCUAUCAAAUUCUAGAAAUCUAGACCAUAUUUUUGUACAUCUUUAUGUAUCUUCCAGCUUAGCCUUUUACAUAGCAUUUUGUAAUUAGUAAUAGAUCAAUGAAUGUUUGUUGAAAACAGAAGGAGAUGACAGUAUUUCCCAAAGUGAGAUAGAUAAUAUGAUUAUAGACUGUAACCAAAAGAAUCUCUUUAUAAUAAUAAUUAUGGAAUUGUUUUAUGCUUAUAAUUAAACAUCACAUUACAUAUCUCAGAUCUAUAAUUUUACUAAUGCCUUUAUGACAAGUUAAAGAUGAGAAUAUCCAAAGAACAAAUAUUAACAAUAUUAAAUAAGUACUAAAACAGGCUUUAUGUAAAUAUGACAAAAAUUGUGACACUGGUGUGUUUGGGUAGCAAUGAUAUGAAGAGACUAAGGGGUCUGUAACUAUACAGUAUUUGCUAUUAUCAGUGGGUUUUAGUGGAAAAUAAUAAAAAUGCUGAAGUCAAUUUCAGAGCAGAGUCCAGGAAUCUGAAAUAAUGUUGGGAAUUUGAGCCUGUAACUACUCUAAACCUCUAAACCAUGACUUUCUCAUUUAGAAAAGCAGCUGAUUGGGCUAACCUGGAUGGUCUCUUUUGUGCCUCUAAAUCCAUAAGAGCCAAAUGAGUGUAUUUAAUGGUAUCCAUGUGUACUUUAAAAAGCCAUUUCUGGGUGCACUGUUGUUUUGGCUUUUCUCUAAGUAACUUCUCUUUACUCACACUCAAUUUACACAACGUGGCUCUGCUCCAAUUUGCUGCCAACCACAAUAUGAUCUGUCUCUCUAUAACAUAGGCCAGAAUGGGAGGAUAAGCUUCAUUUUGGCUCUGGCAAGUCAGAUUUUGAUAGGUUGUGGCUCCCCUGGUAGUAAUUCAGGCAGGUCUCAAUGUCCUUCCAGAGUAUGUGAAUGUAGGUGCUUUAUAUAUUUUUUUCACCUGCGGAAGUUAUAGUUUUAGAUAAUAUGUUUCUCUUGGUAAAGAACACAUUUUAUAUGACCACUUUAUGCUCCCAUAUGUUAUUCAUGAUGAUAUCUUUCUAUUAAGGACUUCCUGAGCACUUACGGUCCUGCUUCAUCAAUAAACACAGAUUUAUAUUGCUUCUAUGUGCUCUAAAGUAGUAAAUUUUCUCUAAACAAGGCUUAUGGUAGAUAUAAUUGAAUUAUAGAUUCAAAAUACAUAUUUAUAAAGGUACCAUGUCACGAAAGUCCAUGCAAAGUGCAGUUGAUGAUAACUAGCAGAAUAUUUCCCAUUAGGUACAGCCUUACCAACCUAUAUUUCUGCCUGAUCCUAAUGUUGAUAUUCUGUUUUCCUUUUUAUAACUUUCAGGAAAUGAGACUUCUUAAAUUAAACUUCAUAUAUUUUUUUUCAUAAUUUUUCAUCUUCCCCAACUUUUACUUCCUCAACAUGCCACACUAUGGGAUUUUUUAGUAUGGAUGAUUAUAAAAAUAUUCCCUAUUGCUAAAUUUCAAGUCUGUUUGAGUUCCUGCCGUGGCGUAGCAGAAGUGAAUCCAACUUGGGACCAUGAGGUUGCAGGUUUGAUCCCUGGCCUCACUCAGUGGGUUAAGGAUCUGGAAUUGCUGUGGCUGUGCUAUAGGCCAGCAGCUAUAGUUCUGAUUCAACCCCUAGCCUGGGAACCUCCAUAUGCUGUGGGA